UUCGUAGGUGGUGCGGCAAGUUGGGAGUGAAAUCUCUGGGCUUAACCCAGAGGCUGCUUUCAAAACUGCCGUGCUCGAGUGCGAGAGAGGUCAGUGGAAUUGCAGGUGUAGCGGUGAAAUGCGUAGAUAUCUGCAGGAACACCCGUGGCGAAGGCGGCUGACUGGAUCGCAACUGACACUGAGGAACGAAAGCUAGGGGAGCAAACAGGAUUAGAUACCCUGGUAGUCCUAGCCCUAAACCAUCGGAACUUGGGGUGGCCCGCGUAGGCGGGUCGUCCCGUAGCUAACGCGUUAAGUUCCGCGCCUGGGGAGUACGGUCGCAAGACUGAA
RNAcentral lists this ribosomal RNA (330 nucleotides) under uncultured bacterium. Its description in RNAcentral is "bacterial SSU rRNA". It matches the Rfam family "Bacterial small subunit ribosomal RNA", at positions 568 to 898 of the family's 1533-position model. The record is from RNAcentral.